GCGAGCGUGGCGGAAUGGUAGACGCGCUGUCUUCAGGUGGCAGUGAGCGAAUGCUCGUGAGGGUUCAACUCCCUCCGCUCGCACGA
Molecule: transfer RNA, 86 nt
Filed under: Bifidobacterium thermophilum
Lineage: Bacteria; Bacillati; Actinomycetota; Actinomycetes; Bifidobacteriales; Bifidobacteriaceae
Also listed under: 5 other names
Description: tRNA-Leu
Rfam family: tRNA
About the family: Transfer RNA (tRNA) molecules are approximately 80 nucleotides in length.
Source: RNAcentral